UACGAAGGUCCCAAGCGUUAUCCGGAUUUAUUGGGUUUAAAGGGUGCGUAGGCGGUCUAUUAAGUCAGUGGUGAAAGCCCCAAGCUCAACUUGGGAACUGCCAUUGAUACUGAUGGACUUGAGUACAUUUGAGGUGGGCGGAAUGUGUCAUGUAGCGGUGAAAUGCUUAGAUAUGACACAGAACACCGAUUGCGAAGGCAGCUCACUAAACUGUAACUGACGCUGAGGCACGAAAGCGUGGGGAGCAAACAGG
RNAcentral lists this ribosomal RNA (253 nucleotides) under uncultured bacterium. Its description in RNAcentral is "partial 16S ribosomal RNA". It matches the Rfam family "Bacterial small subunit ribosomal RNA", at positions 524 to 776 of the family's 1533-position model. The record is from RNAcentral.